UUAAGCGACUAAGCGUACACGGUGGAUGCCCUGGCAGUCAGAGGCGAUGAAGGACGUGCUAAUCUGCGAUAAGCGUCGGUGAGGUGAUAUGAACCGUUAUAACCGGCGAUUUCCGAAUGGGGAAACCCAGUGUGUUUCGACACACUAUCAUUAACUGAAUCCAUAGGUUAAUGAGGCGAACCGGGGGAACUGAAACAUCUAAGUACCCCGAGGAAAAGAAAUCAACCGAGAUUCCCCCAGUAGCGGCGAGCGAACGGGGAGGAGCCCAGAGCCUGAAUCAGUGUGUGUGUUAGUGGAAGCGUCUGGAAAGGCGUGCGAUACAGGGUGACAGCCCCGUACACAAAAAUGCACAUAUUGUGAGCUCGAUGAGUAGGGCGGGACACGUGGUAUCCUGUCUGAAUAUGGGGGGACCAUCCUCCAAGGCUAAAUACUCCUGACUGACCGAUAGUGAACCAGUACCGUGAGGGAAAGGCGAAAAGAACCCCGGCGAGGGGAGUGAAAAAAGAACCUGAAACCGUGUACGUACAAGCAGUGGGAGCCUCUUAAUGGGGUGACUGCGUACCUUUUGUAUAAUGGGUCAGCGACUUAUAUUCUGUAGCAAGGUUAACCGAAUAGGGGAGCCGAAGGGAAACCGAGUCUUAACUGGGCGUUAAGUUGCAGGGUAUAGACCCGAAACCCGGUGAUCUAGCCAUGGGCAGGUUGAAGGUUGGGUAACACUAACUGGAGGACCGAACCGACUAAUGUUGAAAAAUUAGCGGAUGACUUGUGGCUGGGGGUGAAAGGCCAAUCAAACCGGGAGAUAGCUGGUUCUCCCCGAAAGCUAUUUAGGUAGCGCCUCGUGAAUUCAUCUCCGGGGGUAGAGCACUGUUUCGGCAAGGGGGUCAUCCCGACUUACAACAUUUCGGCAAGAAGGGUCAUCCCGACUUACCAACCCGAUGCAAACUGCGAAUACCGGAGAAUGUUAUCACGGGAGACACACGGCGGGUGCUAACGUCCGUCGUGAAGAGGGAAACAACCCAGACCGCCAGCUAAGGUCCCAAAGUCAUGGUUAAGUGGGAAACGAUGUGGGAAGGCCCAGACAGCCAGGAUGUUGGCUUAGAAGCAGCCAUCAUUUAAAGAAAGCGUAAUAGCUCACUGGUCGAGUCGGCCUGCGCGGAAGAUGUAACGGGGCUAAACCAUGCACCGAAGCUGCGGCAACCAUGCACCGAAGCUGCGGCAGCGACACUAUGUGUUGUUGGGUAGGGGAGCGUUCUGUAAGCCUGUGAAGGUGGCCUGUGAGGGUUGCUGGAGGUAUCAGAAGUGCGAAUGCUGACAUAAGUAACGAUAAAGCGGGUGAAAAGCCCGCUCGCCGGAAGACCAAGGGUUCCUGUCCAACGUUAAUCGGGGCAGGGUGAGUCGACCCCUAAGGCGAGGCCGAAAGGCGUAGUCGAUGGGAAACAGGUUAAUAUUCCUGUACUUGGUGUUACUGCGAAGGGGGGACGGAGAAGGCUAUGUUGGCCGGGCGACGGUUGUCCCGGUUUAAGCGUGUAGGCUGGUUUUCCAGGCAAAUCCGGAAAACCAAGGCUGAGGCGUGAUGACGAGGCACUACGGUGCUGAAGCGACAAAUGCCCUGCUUCCAGGAAAAGCCUCUAAGCAUCAGGUAACAUCAAAUCGUACCCCAAACCGACACAGGUGGUCAGGUAGAGAAUACCAAGGCGCUUGAGAGAACUCGGGUGAAGGAACUAGGCAAAAUGGUGCCGUAACUUCGGGAGAAGGCACGCUGAUAUGUAGGUGAAGCGACUUGCUCGUGGAGCUGAAAUCAGUCGAAGAUACCAGCUGGCUGCAACUGUUUAUUAAAAACACAGCACUGUGCAAACACGAAAGUGGACGUAUACGGUGUGACGCCUGCCCGGUGCCGGAAGGUUAAUUGAUGGGGUUAGCGGCAACGCGAAGCUCUUGAUCGAAGCCCCGGUAAACGGCGGCCGUAACUAUAACGGUCCUAAGGUAGCGAAAUUCCUUGUCGGGUAAGUUCCGAAAUUCCUUGUCGGGUAAGUUCCGACCUGCACGAAUGGCGUAAUGAUGGCCAGGCUGUCUCCACCCGAGACUCAGUGAAAUUGAACUCGCUGUGAAGAUGCAGUGUACCCGCGGCAAGACGGAAAGACCCCGUGAACCUUUACUAUAGCUUGACACUGAACAUUGAGCCUUGAUGUGUAGGAUAGGUGGGAGGCUUUGAAGUGUGGACGCCAGUCUGCAUGGAGCCGACCUUGAAAUACCACCCUUUAAUGUUUGAUGUUCUAACGUUGGCCCGUAAUCCGGGUUGCGGACAGUGUCUGGUGGGUAGUUUGACUGGGGCGGUCUCCUCCUAAAGAGUAACGGAGGAGCACGAAGGUUGGCUAAUCCUGGUCGGACAUCAGGAGGUUAGUGCAAUGGCAUAAGCCAGCUUGACUGCGAGCGUGACGGCGCGAGCAGGUGCGAAAGCAGGUCAUAGUGAUCCGGUGGUUCUGAAUGGAAGGGCCAUCGCUCAACGGAUAAAAGGUACUCCGGGGAUAACAGGCUGAUACCGCCCAAGAGUUCAUAUCGACGGCGGUGUUUGGCACCUCGAUGUCGGCUCAUCACAUCCUGGGGCUGAAGUAGGUCCCAAGGGUAUGGCUGUUCGCCAUUUAAAGUGGUACGCGAGCUGGGUUUAGAACGUCGUGAGACAGUUCGGUCCCUAUCUGCCGUGGGCGCUGGAGAACUGAGGGGGGCUGCUCCUAGUACGAGAGGACCGGAGUGGACGCAGGACCGGAGUGGACGCAUCACUGGUGUUCGGGUUGUCAUGCCAAUGGCACUGCCCGGUAGCUAAAUGCGGAAGAGAUAAGUGCUGAAAGCAUCUAAGCACGAAACUUGCCCCGAGAUGAGUUCUCCCUGAAGAAGGGCCCCCGUUAGAGUCCUGAAGGAACGUUGAAGACGACGACGUUGAUAGGCCGGGUGUGUAAGCGCAGCGAUGCGUUGAGCUAACCGGUACUAAUGAACCGUGAGGCUUAACCUU
RNAcentral lists this ribosomal RNA (3007 nucleotides) under Escherichia coli TOP293-3. Its description in RNAcentral is "bacterial LSU rRNA". It matches the Rfam family "Bacterial large subunit ribosomal RNA". The record is from RNAcentral. Lineage: Bacteria; Pseudomonadati; Pseudomonadota; Gammaproteobacteria; Enterobacterales; Enterobacteriaceae.